RNAcentral lists this ribosomal RNA (478 nucleotides) under uncultured bacterium. Its description in RNAcentral is "partial 16S ribosomal RNA". It matches the Rfam family "Bacterial small subunit ribosomal RNA", at positions 28 to 523 of the family's 1533-position model. The record is from RNAcentral.
GACGAACGCUGGCGGCGUGCUUAACACAUGCAAGUCGAGCGAUGAAAUCCCUUCGGGGAUGGAUUAGCGGCGGACGGGUGAGUAACACGUGGGCAACCUGCCUUAUAGAGAGGAAUAGCCAUCCGAAAGGAUGAUUAAUACCUCAUAAUAUUGUAGCUUCGCAUGAAGCAACAAUCAAAGGAGCAAUCCACUAUAAGAUGGGCCCGCGGCGCAUUAGCUAGUUGGUGAGGUAACGGCUCACCAAGGCGACGAUGCGUAGCCGACCUGAGAGGGUGAUCGGCCACAUUGGGACUGAGACACGGCCCAGACUCCUACGGGAGGCAGCAGUGGGGAAUAUUGCACAAUGGGGGAAACCCUGAUGCAGCAACGCCGCGUGAGUGAUGACGGCCUUCGGGUUGUAAAGCUCCGUCUUCAGGGACGAUAAUGACGGUACCUGAGGAGGAAGCCACGGCUAACUCUGUGCCAGCCGCCGCAGUAA